AACUUAUUAUUAAUUUUUGGCUGUGCUGCACAGCUUAUGAAACUAUCUGUAAGAUGCACUCGAGCUAGCCGUAGCCUCAUUUAAGGAGCUCUAUGUGUUGCAUGAAUUGUCAUCCUCCUUAGACUUUUUGCCAGCUGGGAGGCGGAGAGAUUAGUAUAUGCUCAGAAGACUUUGAGCUGAAAUUUUUCUGUAUUUUGAGCUGCACUUGAGUCAAUAAAGGCAGAGAGACAAAUUUUAUUGCUCUACCUGUCAAGGUUUAGGAUUGAAAUGGUUUGGUGAAGGUAAUAAUACAUAAUCACGUGUAUAGUGCAAUUCAUUUUCUGUGUGGCUAGUGAUUUGUUGCAAAAUUCGUGCUUUGGUGUAUUGGUUGAGCUAUUUGUUUACUAUUUUUCUGUUAAUGGGUGAGUAAAAUGGAAGGUGCUGCUUUUCAUUUGUUACUAAGAUGUAGUAUCAUUUAUUUUAAUAGCAAAUAAAGCUGAGUUCGAUCCUCAAACUUGGGUUUUGGCUGCCAUUUGCUGAUGUCUAACACAUUUUUACAGAGUAGAAGAAGAUUUAUAAACUUAAAGAGAGAUCUUUAGGUGGCUCAGGUUGUUUGAGGAUGCAAAAUGUUGUGAGCAAAAGUGAAUUGGUCCUGAUGCAACAUUCUGAGACCUUUGAAGAGUUUAGCAAAUAUGAGUUAUUGAGCUUAAGUCAUAGCUAAAAGACAUGAUAAAGUUCAGAUGGAAGGUACAGGAUGUAUCUGCUGUUCUAUUUCAAUCAAUGGUCUCUUACCAGACUUAUAGGUGGGUGCUUAAGAAGGCCAAGUUUUUUAGUUCUUCUUUAAUAUGAAGUCAUGAUUUUGUUGAGUGUAUGCACACUUUCUAUGGGGUGGGCUUCAAGUGUGGUACCAAAUCCAGAAGUGAUGAUACCUAGUAGGCGUAUGAGAUAUCGAUGUGUUCAACGUACCCCGCAACAAGGGGAUUUAAGAAGAUUUGAUCUAGAAAUAGAUGCUUUAUGUGGAAAAGUUCUGAAAAAUACAGCACUUUCUCAGGAAAUGGCUUAGUUGCUGAAAAUUAUAUGAUUUGUAAAUGCUAUUUGUGCAGAGUUACCAAAGAAUAGGAUAAUUUUGCUGAUGCAGUAUGGGAUGGUUGUAAAGUUCUGGGAGGAUAUGUUUGUUUGGACCUGAAAGCUUGAAAUUAGGAUUUUCUGCUGUAAGUUGAAUUGAAUAGACCUUCUGUACCUACAUUGUCAUGGAAAGGGA
This is a non-coding RNA of Coffea arabica (coffee), 1240 nucleotides long. The record is from RefSeq and is a predicted model, not a curated record. NCBI's taxonomy places the organism in Eukaryota, Viridiplantae, Streptophyta, Magnoliopsida, Gentianales, Rubiaceae.